GACGAACGCUGGCGGCGUGCCUAAUACAUGCAAGUUGAGCGCUGAAGGUUGGUACUUGUACCAACUGGAUGAGCAGCGAACGGGUGAGUAACGCGUGGGGAAUCUGCCUUUGAGCGGGGGACAACAUUUGGAAACGAAUGCUAAUACCGCAUAAAAACUUUAAACACAAGUUUUAAGUUUGAAAGAUGCAAUUGCAUCACUCAAAGAUGAUCCCGCGUUGUAUUAGCUAGUUGGUGAGGUAAAGGCUCACCAAGGCGAUGAUACAUAGCCGACCUGAGAGGGUGAUCGGCCACAUUGGGACUGAGACACGGCCCAAACUCCUACGGGAGGCAGCAGUAGGGAAUCUUCGGCAAUGGACGAAAGUCUGACCGAGCAACGCCGCGGGAGUGAAGAAGGUUGUCGGAUCGUAAAACUCGGUUGGUAGAGAAGAACGUUGGUGAGAGUGGAAAGCUCAUCAAGUGACGGUAACUACCCAGAAAGGGACGGCUAACUACGUG
RNAcentral lists this ribosomal RNA (497 nucleotides) under uncultured bacterium. RNAcentral's name for it is "partial 16S ribosomal RNA". It matches the Rfam family "Bacterial small subunit ribosomal RNA", at positions 28 to 507 of the family's 1533-position model. The record is from RNAcentral.